Molecule: long non-coding RNA, 623 nt
Filed under: Ananas comosus (pineapple)
Lineage: Eukaryota; Viridiplantae; Streptophyta; Magnoliopsida; Poales; Bromeliaceae
Description: long non-coding RNA (ACOM_LNC017843)
Source: RNAcentral
AAAAGCAGUAAAUGCGAAAAAGAAAAAGAUUACAUUUAGACUACUCCUAGAAAAGCGAUAAAAUGCAGAGAAAAUAAGGGUGGUCUUCUCGUUCAGGAUGGAGAAAGAUCUCUAUUGCAGUCUUCAAAGUUACUAUUUAUAAUAUCUUUAAGCCCACUUUAUUGGUCGCUUGAAAGUAGUGGAGGGAGUGGUUGUAACUAUGAUCGUGGAAGUUAAACUAACUCCUGAUGGAAGUUACGCUAACUCCUCAUAGAAGUUAUGCCCCACUUCUCAACCGUUCCCGCCUAAACUCUCUUGAUCUUCAGGCGCCUUAUUGCCGACUCCUGGUGUACCAAGUGUCCUUAUUUCUUUGGCUUAUACGUGAUUUAGAUCGGCAUGUCUCUAUUUUGGCCUCAACAACCGUAUUUCUUUUUGUAAUUUUUUUAUUAUUCAUAAGUCAAAAAAAUAGAAUAAGGUGUGAAUUUGAAUACGAUGAUUCAAUCACGGUGUUUAACUUAAAAUUGUCAAUGAGAUACUCACGUAAUAAUAAGAGGAUCAAUAUACAAAUAUAAAUUUAUUAGUGCCAUUUAUAAAAAAUAAUUUUUGCUUGGGUUAAAUGUCAAAAAAGUUCUAAGAAAUUAUUG